Long non-coding RNA from Phyllostomus discolor (pale spear-nosed bat), 612 nucleotides. RefSeq lists it as uncharacterized. The record is from RefSeq and is a predicted model, not a curated record. The transcript is spliced from 2 exons. NCBI's taxonomy places the organism in Eukaryota, Metazoa, Chordata, Mammalia, Chiroptera, Phyllostomidae.
UUUAGCCUCUCAGCCCCCCUUUAUCAGUAGCCUCAAAUAAUUUCCAGUUUUUCUCUCCUACCUCUCCCAUGCCUUUCUUUCUUUAUUACCACCAUAUAUCUUCCAAAAACACAAAUAUGACAACAAAAGUAGAGCUCAUAACAUAAAACAGUAUGAAUAUGAUUACAUAUCCCAAGUACCAUAAAAAAAUAAAAAACCAACAAUAGACUAUAUAAAUGGCACCUCUGAUCAAGAAAAAGGACAAGCAUUCCACUGGAAGACUGGGUCAAGGUCAAGAGCAAGAAAUUCACAAGAGUAACAAGAGCAGGGACAACUAUGUUUGUAUUCUUACUAAGCUUCUGGCAGAGAGUAAGAUACUGCCAGGCAGCAGAUACUAUUCAAAAGAGCACUUUACAACAACAGUCUAAGAUAGCUAUUAUAUUAAGUCUAUUGCACAAAUGAAAAAAAAUGAAGUAUAGAGAUUUGAACUAACUUAUCUUAGGUCUCAAUGCUAGUCAAUAGCAAAGCCAGCAUUCAAAUCCAGUCAGUCUUGACUUCAUAUAAGCAUUACUUUAUAAAAGUGAUUACUAAAGACACAAAAAAAGGGCUUCCAGUUAAAGAUGGCAGAUGGAA